Molecule: ribosomal RNA, 693 nt
Filed under: Triticum aestivum (bread wheat)
Lineage: Eukaryota; Viridiplantae; Streptophyta; Magnoliopsida; Poales; Poaceae
Description: partial small subunit ribosomal RNA
Source: RNAcentral
AUGUACUCGUCACAAUCGGUGAGUCGCAUCAACAAUAUUUGCACCUCUCUCAUCAAUGCGCAGAAGGGAAACCUCUCCGUCGCCUCCUACUUCGCCACCAUGUGUGGCUACGCCGAUGAGCUGGCCGUGGCGGGCAAGGCGAUCCUCGACGAUGAGCUCAUCUCCUACAUCAUCCACGGGCUCGAUGCUGACUACCAGCCUCUGAUCUCUACUCUGGACGCUCGUGUGACCCCGGUCACCCUCGACGAGCUGUUCGCUAUGCUCUCCAACUUUGAUGAGAGGAUGGUGCACUUCCACGGGCCCGGCGGCGGCGGCUUCAAAUCCUCCGCCUCUCCCGGUCGUGGCGGCUCCUCUCGGCGUAGAGGCUCCUCCCGUGGCAGGGGGAGAUCCAGUGGAGGCGGAAACGGCAGCGGCUCCAACUCCCGCAAUGGCGCGGGCAUGCUUCCUCCAACAACCGCACUCGCCGUGGCGGCGGCAACCCUCGUGCACGCCCCGAUGCUCCUCGCUGCCAGAUAUGUGGCAAGUUGGGUCACACAACAAAAGAUUGCUGGUACCGCUAUGAAGAGGAUGACGACUCCUCUCAAGAUGAUGACAAGGUGGUGGCGGCUACAGAUGGCUCCUACGGCAUCGACACCAACUGGUAUGUCGACAGCGGCGCCACCAACCACAUCACCAACAAGCUCGAGAAGGUGA